This 28-nucleotide small RNA is filed under the name Bombyx mori (domestic silkworm). RNAcentral describes it as "ovarian small RNA-33662". Lineage: Eukaryota; Metazoa; Arthropoda; Insecta; Lepidoptera; Bombycidae. The record is from RNAcentral.
UGCCACAGUUUCUACAGUUCCUUAUUGA